This 357-nucleotide ribosomal RNA is filed under the name uncultured bacterium. RNAcentral describes it as "bacterial SSU rRNA". It matches the Rfam family "Bacterial small subunit ribosomal RNA", at positions 28 to 375 of the family's 1533-position model. The record is from RNAcentral.
GAUGAACGCUAGCUACAGGCUUAACACAUGCAAGUCGAGGGGCAGCAUCAUCAAAGCUUGCUUUGAUGGAUGGCGACCGGCGCACGGGUGAGUAACACGUAUCCAACCUGCCGACAACACUGGGAUAGCCUUUCGAAAGAAAGAUUAAUACCGGAUGGCAUAGUUUUCCCGCAUGGGAUAAUUAUUAAAGAAUUUCGGUUGUCGAUGGGGAUGCGUUCCAUUAGGCAGUUGGCGGGGUAACGGCCCACCUAGCCUACGAUGGAUAGGGGUUCUGAGAGGAAGGCCCCCCCACAUUGGAACUGAGACACGGUCCAAAACUCCUACGGGAGCAGCAGUGAGGAAUAUUGGGUCAAUGGA